This is a long non-coding RNA of Hydractinia symbiolongicarpus, 472 nucleotides long. RefSeq lists it as uncharacterized. The transcript is spliced from 3 exons. The record is from RefSeq and is a predicted model, not a curated record. NCBI's taxonomy places the organism in Eukaryota, Metazoa, Cnidaria, Hydrozoa, Anthoathecata, Hydractiniidae.
GAAAAAAAUAAGUUUAGGAACCAGUUGAUAACAGCUUAUAUUAUUUAAGCUGAUGGAAAUCAUGUGUAGUAUUCGUGAAAUAAAGUAACUAGAACAAUUUAAUUCCAGGCCUUGUCGAGAUAAGCCACGUUGUGCCAAGGAGAAGAGUUAUUGAAGAAAAAAACAAGCAACUCACAGUGAUGGGUUAGAAAUUUGUGGCAACCUUUGGAUGAAAACUUAACCAAAGAAAUAAAAGAUAUCGUUGGAAUAAACCACGGAUAAUACGUUCGCCAAACUCUAAACUGCAAUGCUGCAAUAUACACACGACGUGGUUCUUUAUGUUUAUAAUUAUAAAAAUAUAUGCAUGAGAAUUUUGCGUGUGUUUUAAUUGUGCACAUCUUUUUCCCGCGCAUUUAUUUUCGCAAACCGAACGUUUGGGACAGAUUUUCGCGCACUUCUUACUGGUGAAAUAGAAUAAAAUUACCAUGUACUG